ACGGGGUGCAGCAGGCGCGAAACCUUUACAAUGCACGAAAGUGUGAUAAGGGAACCCAAAGUGCUUAGCUUAGCUAAGCUUUUGCCAAGAGUAAAUAUCUUGGAGAAUAAGUGGUGGGCAAGACUGGUGCCAGCCGCCGCGGUAAUACCAGCGCCACGAGUGGGAACUAUGAUUAUUGGGCCUAAAGCGUCCGUAGCCUGUUUGAUAAAUUUCUUGUGAAAUUGUUAAGCUCAACUUAACGAAAUGCAGGAAAGACUGUCAAACUUGGGACUGGGAGGAGUUAGAAGUAUCUUUGGGGUAGCGGUAAAAUGUUAUAAUCCUAAAGAGACUACCUAUGGCGAAAGCAUCUAACCAGAACAGGUCCGACGGUGAGGAACGAAAGCUAGGGGAGCAAAACGGAUUAGAUACCCGAGUAGUCCUAGCCAUAAACGCUGCGAGCAAGAUGUUGCAUAUUCUUCGGGAAUAUGCAGUAUCGAAGAGAAGUCAUUAAGCUCGCCGCCUGGGAAGUAUGGUCGCAAGACUGAAACCUAAAGGAAUUGGCGGGGGAGCAC
Molecule: ribosomal RNA, 551 nt
Filed under: uncultured archaeon
Lineage: Archaea
Description: bacterial SSU rRNA
Rfam family: Archaeal small subunit ribosomal RNA
Source: RNAcentral